RNAcentral lists this ribosomal RNA (490 nucleotides) under uncultured bacterium. Its description in RNAcentral is "partial 16S ribosomal RNA". It matches the Rfam family "Bacterial small subunit ribosomal RNA", at positions 30 to 507 of the family's 1533-position model. The record is from RNAcentral.
AUUGAACGCUGGCGGCAUGCUUUACACAUGCAAGUCGGACGGCAGCACAGAGACGCUUGCUUCUUGGGUGGCGAGUGGCGCACGGGUGAGUCAUAUAUCGGAACGUACCGAGUGAUGGGGGAUAACUAAUCGAAAGAUUAGCUAAUACCGCAUAUUCUCUGAGGAGGAAAGCAGGGGACCUUCGGGCCUUGCUUUAUUCGAGUGGACGAUAUCUGAUUAGCUAGUUGGUGGGGUAAAGGCCUACCAAGGCGACGAUCAGUAGCGGGUCUGAGAGGGUGAUCCGCCACACUGGGACUGAGACACGGCCCAGACUCCUACGGGAGGCAGCAGUGGGGAAUUUUGGACAAUGGGCGAAAGCCUGAUCCAGCCAUGCCGCGUGUCUGAAGAAGGCCUUCGGGUUGUAAAGGACUUUUGUCAGGGAAGAAAAGGCUGUUGCUAAUAUCAAUAGCUGAUGACGGUACCUGAAGAAUAAGCACCGGCUAACUACGUG